Molecule: long non-coding RNA, 1044 nt
Organism: Rosa chinensis
Lineage: Eukaryota; Viridiplantae; Streptophyta; Magnoliopsida; Rosales; Rosaceae
Exons: 6
Source: RefSeq, a predicted model, not a curated record
AGAAAACUAUCUCACAAGAUCUGGAGUUGGAAUCACUUUUUCCAGGCAUGUCUCCAUGAUCUGGAGUUGGAGAAUGGUAUUGGUCUUCUGAACAAAGGUUCUGCCAUUGGUAUUGGAUUUGGAACUUUGGGAUCGAACCUGCUUUAGUUAGACUUACAUAGGAUCUAGAAAGCAACUAGAAUAAGGGGAUUGAGUUUAUGCUUUCGGCCAGGGGAGGCAGCAUUCUAUCAUGGAUUGGACAUGAUUAUUUUGUUAUGGAUGAUAAGACUGCUGCACAUCAUGAGACAACCUAUAAAUUGCCCUUUGGGUUCCCGAGUUAAUUUGAUGAAAUCAUGGACAAUAUGCAGGCAGUAGGAAACCUAUUACUUCAGAUGGCUGUCAAUUCAUAUAUGUCAUGAUAUAUGUGUUCCUGCUGUGAGAAAUUGGAGGUUUUCUAAAUUUGCCUUGGUUGCACUGAUAACUUCUAAAGUAAGGAAUCAAUCAUGAAGUUUAUGAAACUUGAUACUACUGAUAACUUUUCACGCUAUAAGGUAAAAGCACACCUGAUUAAAUAUGAAAGCAUUUUUAAAAUAUGCUGCAUCAUUAAUGAAUUAUGAAUAGAAGGUUGUUACUAAAUGACUCUUUUUUCCUUUUUAAAAUUUUUUUUUUUCCGCUGCUAAUUUCUUUUUAAGUUUCAGGUGAUCUCAUAAUUCAAGUGAAGGGAAGUAGAUAUUUGCUUCACAAGGUCACACAUUGCAGCUUCAAGCAUUCUUCAAAUCUUGCAUACUCCAUGGCUGGAUGGACAAAAUUUCCACUCUUACACUCUACAAAGCACGAAGCUGACAACCUUUCAGAUCAGUUCACACGAAUGAGCUUCGUGGUUGUUGUACAUAGUGUUAAAUGAACAUGUGAAAUUUUUUUUUCAAACUGAAAACUUCAUUUGAUUAUGGGUAGUUGUUAGUUCACUUAGAACGACAGAAAUUGAUAACUGUUAUGCACCCUUAAAUGCAGUUAUUUUUGUCUAUACAAGCGGUUUCAUUUGUAAUAAUACCAAGUCCCGCAGCA